Momordica charantia (bitter melon) is the source of this 1139-nucleotide long non-coding RNA. RefSeq lists it as uncharacterized. Lineage: Eukaryota; Viridiplantae; Streptophyta; Magnoliopsida; Cucurbitales; Cucurbitaceae. The record is from RefSeq and is a predicted model, not a curated record.
UUAUAUUUCAAAAAGAGUAAGCAAUUUGUACACAUCCAAUUUAGUUUGAAAAUAUUUAAAAAUUUUGAAGCUUUCCAGCAGCGAAUAAAAUCAAAAGGGGACUUUUGCAAUGAAUCUCACCCAUCUGUAUAAUUCCUUUUAUGAUUAAAGCUUUCGCGAGAGUGAUAAAAAGGAGUUGCUUGGGUCAAGUCUCCCCAAAGGGUGUAAACUGUAAAGUACCUUCUUAAAAAACGGACGGCGACCCGGUGGCUUCCGUGGAGUCACAGGCUGGCCCAUGUUCGUUCGGCCUCUUUCAACCUAAGCCCAUCUUCUCUCUUUUUAAUUUUUUAUUACAGCAAAAUUCUCUGCAUCUUCUUUUUUAAGAGCAGAUUCCUUAUUCCAAGGAGGUUUUUUUUUUUUUUUUUUAUGCUUUUAAACUGUGUAAUGUAAUGACCAGCGAAAAACCUGUCUCCGGCCGCCCAAUUUUAGCACCAUGAGAGGCCCAAAACCAGAAUCAAGUUUCAGUUUGAGUGAUUGCGAUGGAGAAUUACUUGAAUUGGGUACAGGCUUUGGGCACCGCCUGGUGUUUCAUGAUGCUGUUGGGUCUCUUGUGUUGCUGCCUCAGCACCAAGCCCCGCCACCACGGCGACGCCGCCGGAGGUAGCUCCAGCUGCUCUUGCGACGCCGGUUACGCAGGUGUUUGAUUCACAAUUUUCAGAUUCUUUUUCUUUUGUUGUGAUGGGAUUAGGAAUCUAGGAGCUGGGGAUUUGCCGAUUUCUUCAAGAUCUGUACAUGGCAACUCGAAUUCGGAGUGAUUUUUCUUUUCUUUUCUUUUACUUUUUGGGUAGCUGCUUAAUGAUGUAUAAUCAGUAUAGAAUUUUCCUUUUCUGUUAUUCAUUCCCCAGAAAUUGAAAAAUGAAAAAAUUGCAUUGUGUUUUUGGCCUUUGAUUGUGCAGUUUAAAAAAGGAAUUGGUUUUGGACUCCGAGGACAGCGCAGCCCCUUAUGAAUAAUUUUUUUUUUUUGGGAAGAGAGCAAAAUUGAUGAGGAACCAACCACCUCCUCCCACCCAACGUUCUUCCAAAUUUUGCUUCAUAAUACUCGAAAAUUCUUGCCAUGUACCACUCAAUUUUUUAUUAGUAGAAACGAGUAAUCCAAACAA